GACGAACGCUGGCGGCGUGCCUAAUACAUGCAAGUUGAGCGCUGAAGGUUGGUACUUGUACCGACUGGAUGAGCAGCGAACGGGUGAGUAACGCGUGGGGAAUCUGCCUUUGAGCGGGGGACAACAUUUGGAAACGAAUGCUAAUACCGCAUAAAAACUUUAAACACAAGUUUUAAGUUUGAAAGAUGCAAUUGCAUCACUCAAAGAUGAUCCCGCGUUGUAUUAGCUAGUUGGUGAGGUAAAGGCUCACCAAGGCGAUGAUACAUAGCCGACCUGAGAGGGUGAUCGGCCACAUUGGGACGGAGACACGGCCCAAACUCCUACGGGAGGCAGCAGUAGGGAAUCUUCGGCAAGGGACGAAAGUCUGACCGAGCAACGCCGCGUGAGUGAAGAAGGUUGUCGGAUCGUAAAACUCUGUUGGUAGAGAAGAACGUUGGUGAGAGUGGAAAGCUCAUCAAGUGACGGUAACUACCCAGAAAGGGACGGCUAACUACGUG
Molecule: ribosomal RNA, 497 nt
Filed under: uncultured bacterium
Lineage: Bacteria
Description: partial 16S ribosomal RNA
Rfam family: Bacterial small subunit ribosomal RNA
Source: RNAcentral